UGUUUAUGUGCGUGUGUACGUGUGUGUGUAUAUAUAUAUAUGUACUCACACACACACACACACACACACACAAACAUACACAUAU
RNAcentral lists this microRNA precursor (85 nucleotides) under Loxodonta africana (African savanna elephant). RNAcentral's name for it is "miRNA (ENSLAFG00000031331.1)". Lineage: Eukaryota; Metazoa; Chordata; Mammalia; Proboscidea; Elephantidae. The record is from RNAcentral.